Molecule: ribosomal RNA, 513 nt
Filed under: Tridacna sp. Tm3
Lineage: Eukaryota; Metazoa; Mollusca; Bivalvia; Cardiida; Cardiidae
Description: partial 16S ribosomal RNA
Rfam family: Bacterial large subunit ribosomal RNA
Source: RNAcentral
UCGCCUGUUUAUCAAAAACAUCUCUUCUAGCAUGAUAUUAGAAGUAGGCCCUGCCCGGUGCCUUACGAGGUAAACGGCGGUGUUAAACCUUAAAGUAGCGUGAUAAGUCGGCCUUUAAUUGGGGUCUGGUAUGAAGGGGUUGACGUCGGAAAAACUGUCUCAGAAAAACUAACGUGAAAUUUACUUUUAAGUGAAAAGGCUUAAAUAAAAGUAAAAGACGAGAAGGCCCUGUCGAGCUUGAGGGAUUUGAAUGUUUAUUAAACGUGAUUAGGAGUUUGGCUGGGGCAGCAAUGGAGGUAGCCUCCGUUUUUAAUGCAAAGAUCCAUUAUGUUUGAAAUAAUGAAAAAAGGAAAAAGUUACCGCAGGGAUAACAGCACAAGACCGCCUCAGAGGUCGUAUCGAAGGCGGUAAGUGUGACCUCGAUGUUGGAUUAGGGUAAACCUCUUUGUGCAGGAGCAAAGCGGGUAGGACUGUUCUUCCUUUAAUCCCCUACGUGAUCUGAUUCCAGACCGG